GGUGUCCACACAGAUUGUCUGAUGAUAAGAAAGAGUCAAAAGCGUCUUGCGAAGCUGACAAGUGAUGUCCCCUUCGUCUAGAGGCCCAGGACACCGCCCUUUCACGGCGGUAACAGGGGUUCGAAUCCCCUAGGGGACGCCAAUGACGGACAGUGGGUGAAAGACACGGUCAGGGUAUUCCCGAGAAUAACCUAAAGCUGAUUAGAGAUAGUCAGGUUUACGUUAUUCUGCUCUUUAACAAUCCGGAACAAGCUGAAAAAUUGAAACGACGGCAUGUGAGUGAGAAUUCAUGUGUUGGUCGAGUCUCUCAAAUUACUCAUAUCCCGAGACACUUUCGGGUUGUGAGGUUAAGCGACUAAGCGUACACGGUGGAUGCCUAGGCAGUCAGAGGCGAUGAAGGGCGUGCUAAUCUGCGAAAAGCGUCGGCA
This 428-nucleotide unclassified non-coding RNA is filed under the name Dickeya sp. 1-1A. Its description in RNAcentral is "partial contains 16S-23S ribosomal RNA intergenic spacer and 23S ribosomal RNA". The stretch from base 67 to 139 matches the Rfam family "tRNA". RNAcentral also lists the same sequence under 8 other names. The record is from RNAcentral. Lineage: Bacteria; Pseudomonadati; Pseudomonadota; Gammaproteobacteria; Enterobacterales; Pectobacteriaceae.